UGACAAGUACCUGCCAAACACUGUUGUGAAAACCUCUCUCCUGGGAAAACAAAAGUCAUGACAUUUUGAGCACAAUUGUGUGUGGGAUGCAUUCAUCAAUAGAGCUGGAAGCACCAACCACCAUAGGAGAGGAAACUUUUAGUUACAAGCACAUGAAUAAAUAAAAUCAAACUCAACUGGAAUGACGUUCCUGAGGAUGGAGAUACAUUUUUUUGUUGACCCAUCUAAACUUGAACAGCAAGUGAUAAUCAGUCUCCAAUCAGAAAGUCCCAGGAGCUACCAAGCAACUCGUGCAGUUGAAUGCCCCAGAACCAUUCUUCACAGGGUAUCCGUGGAAAUCAUCACCCUUUCACCUUCAGAUUCUGGCUCAAAGAAAUUGUGGGCGAUGAGUCACCUAACUCUGUGACUCAUAUCUGGUCUCAAUAAAGGUGUUUUAUGAGUUGAAAAAAAGAGGCAUCCAUAUAGAUAAGACAAGAAGGCAAACUAAUUAAUGAAAAUAAUCCUGCAAAGGUGGUGAGAUUAGAGAUCUCUGUGUUUGGUUUGAAAUUUUAUUUAAUGCAUAAAUGACUAUAGAAUAAAAAAUGGAUAAAUUCC
This 594-nucleotide long non-coding RNA is filed under the name Homo sapiens (human). RNAcentral describes it as "HSALNT0296407". Lineage: Eukaryota; Metazoa; Chordata; Mammalia; Primates; Hominidae. The record is from RNAcentral.